This 301-nucleotide ribosomal RNA is filed under the name uncultured bacterium. Its description in RNAcentral is "partial 16S ribosomal RNA". It matches the Rfam family "Bacterial small subunit ribosomal RNA", at positions 509 to 807 of the family's 1533-position model. The record is from RNAcentral.
CAGCCGCCGCGGUAAUACGAAGGUCCUGAGCGUUGUUCGGAAUCACUGGGCGUAAAGGGAGCGUAGGCGGCGUGGUAAGUCAGAUGUGAAAUCCCGGGGCUCAACCCCGGAACUGCAUCCGAUACUGCCGUGCUAGAGGAUUGGAGAGGUAGCUGGAAUUCUUGGUGUAGCAGUGAAAUGCGUGGAGAUCAAGAGGAACACUCGUGGCGAAAGCGAGCUACUGGACAAUAUCUGACGCUGAGGCUCGAAGGCCAGGGUAGCGAAAGGGAUUAGAUACCCCUGUAGUCCCUGUCUCUUAUAC